GGGAGCAGAAGGAAUAUCGUGUCUAAGGGGCAGACUCGAGCAGAGGGCCAAGUAGGUGGCUGGCUCCCGCCCACUCUGGCAACGUUGCACAGGGACACAGCCAGGAGCUGGGGCUUGGGAGCAGGAGGCCGGUCCCUGAGGGCUGGUGAGAGCCAAGCUUCUGGCAGAAAAGAAACGGAAUCACCCUUUCCUCAGUCCUGCAUGUGACAGUUUCUCUGCCCGCCCUUUUGCACACUGGUCUAUCUGACUCCAAAGCUGGAAGUCUGAAUGACACUAAACAACCACCAAUGUCUCUGAGGACAAGCAGCAAGUUCUCUCUCCUCCUGGGCCCUGGCACAUAUUUAUACAGAGUGUAUCAUGAACAUCUGGGUCCCCGCUGCCCCAAGGUGCUCAGUAGAUGGGUAGUGCCACUCAAAGAGCAGCCAUGGAGGGAGGAAGCCGAGUCUCGGGCUGGAGCUGCCAGGAUCUGUGUGGGUCCCACUGAAGUCCGGCAGCCCCGCCAGGAGUGCAAGAAGCUGGCUGUGGUCCCUCUGGAGCAGUGCACUCCUGGGGUAAACAAGCAGUGUUUGCCAGGAAAAGGGCCCUGAGGUCCAGAAUACAGCUCAUUAUGGUUUUGACUAAUACCAGACUGUCCACUGCUCCAUUCAACCACAGAGGCUCCCUUUGACCUCAAAUCGAGCCUGAGUUUCCAUCAGCCCCGGGGCUGCCCCGCAUGCUAGACUCUGUCCUUGUCUGAAGCAAGUCUCCUGGGUCGUGAGAGCCUUUGCUGCAAACUCAGCCAAUAAACCAUGCUACUUGGCUUGAGUUCUC
Molecule: long non-coding RNA, 810 nt
Filed under: Equus asinus (donkey)
Lineage: Eukaryota; Metazoa; Chordata; Mammalia; Perissodactyla; Equidae
Description: lncRNA (ENSEASG00005035727.1)
Source: RNAcentral